UACGUAGGGUGCGAGCAUUGUCCGGAAUUAUUGGGCGUAAAGAGCUCGUAGGCGGCCUGUCGCGUCGGAUGUGAAAGCCCGGGGCUUAACCCCGGGUCUGCAUUCGAUACGGGCAGGCUAGAGUUCGGUAGGGGAGAUCGGAAUUCCUGGUGUAGCGGUGAAAUGCGCAGAUAUCAGGAGGAACACCGGUGGCGAAGGCGGAUCUCUGGGCCGAUACUGACGCUGAGGAGCGAAAGCGUGGGGAGCGAACAGG
RNAcentral lists this ribosomal RNA (253 nucleotides) under uncultured bacterium. Its description in RNAcentral is "partial 16S ribosomal RNA". It matches the Rfam family "Bacterial small subunit ribosomal RNA", at positions 524 to 776 of the family's 1533-position model. The record is from RNAcentral.